ACACAGAUUCAGCAAACCUUCCACUGUGGCAUGGUAGAGAACCCCAGGCUAAGGAUUAACAGACAUUCUGAAUUUGCAAACCAGAAAGAGCUGCACUUCAUCACUGCUUCAAGAAGGCACCUGGGACGGGAAGGCCUUCUGCUUUUCUGUCUUCCUCUCUGUGCUGUGAAGACGCAAGAACGAAGCGUAAGCAGCUGUGCUUGGUCAGAGGAAGGGUUCCGGGAAAGCCACACAGAAGAGAUAGCAUUGGACUGCGACCAGGACUAAAAAGAUGAUGUUGCCUUGGCAGACAACUGGAAAAACAUCAUAAGCAGAGAGAACAAUGUCUAAAAUAUCAACCAAGGUAUUUUGCAACCAGUUACGACUCUGAUUCUGAUUUUCAUGCUUCCUACCUCUUUCACCUUGGAGUACUGCACUCCCCUCAAUCCUCACCCAAGCUGUUGGGUUGACACAGGAGGAAAGUGAAGCCCAGAGGACAUAAUUUAUCUCCCUCCUUGAUACUGGCAUAUGAAGAAGCUGAGACAGAAGCUGAAGGAAUGGCCACAGGCGCCAAGGAUGGCCAAGGAGGCCCUUGAUGCUUCUGGUCCUGCUGGGACCACUGAACACACAUGGACCUCUCUGCAACUUGAGCACGGGAGGGUCAGGCUGGGUGACAAAGGCAUGAGCAGAGCUGCCCAGGGUGUCUCUGUGCAUGUUCAUCCCAGUCUUAGCAGAGCACAAUUUCAAUCCACGUUUCAGAUUCACCCAGAUGCCUUGGAUAAUUUGUUUUGGAAAACAUAUAUUGAAGUUACCAGAGCCACAGUAUGACAGAAGACUGGGUCCCAGAAUCAGAACUGCAAGGAAAGUCAUGCACUAAUGAAGAAAACAAUUCUUAAGGCUUAUGUGAGCUGAAAACAAACUUGUCAUGUUGCUUCCUUUAUCCAUUUUUAGAAGAUG
This is a long non-coding RNA of Cercocebus atys (sooty mangabey), 936 nucleotides long. RefSeq lists it as uncharacterized. Lineage: Eukaryota; Metazoa; Chordata; Mammalia; Primates; Cercopithecidae. The transcript has 4 exons. The record is from RefSeq and is a predicted model, not a curated record.